UACGGAAGGCAGCAGUGGGGAAUAUUGGACAAUGGGCGAAAGCCUGAUCCAGCCAUGCCGCAUGAGUGAAGAAGGCCUUCGGGUUGUAAAGCUCUUUUAGUGAGAAAGAUAAUGACGGUACUCACAGAAGAAGUCCUGGCUAACUCCGUGCCAGCAGCCGCGGUAAUACGGAGAGGGCUAGCGUUAUUCGGAAUUAUUGGGCGUAAAGAGCGCGUAGGCUGAUUAGUAAGUUAAAGGUGAAAUCCCAAAGCUUAACUUUGGAAUUGCUUUUUAAAACUGCUAGUCUAGAGAUUGAAAGAGGAUAGAGGAAUUCCUAGUGUAGAGGUGAAAUUCGUAAAUAUUAGGAGGAACACCAGUGGCGAAGGCGUCUAUCUGGUUCAAAUCUGACGCUGAGGCGCGAAGGGCGUGGGGAGCAAACAGGGAUUAGAUACC
This 432-nucleotide ribosomal RNA is filed under the name uncultured bacterium. RNAcentral describes it as "bacterial SSU rRNA". It matches the Rfam family "Bacterial small subunit ribosomal RNA", at positions 340 to 786 of the family's 1533-position model. The record is from RNAcentral.